GGACAGUGUCUGGUGGGUGCCUUGAUGUGUAGGAUAGGUGGGAGGCUUUGAAGCGUGGACGCCAGUCUGCGUGGAGCCGACCUUGAAAUACCACCCUUUAAUGUUUGAUGUUCUAACGUUGGCCCCUGACCGGGGUUGCGGACAGUGUCUGGUGGGUAGUUUGACUGGGGCGGUCUCCUCCCAAAGCGUAACGGAGGAGCACGAAG
This 206-nucleotide ribosomal RNA is filed under the name Klebsiella pneumoniae. Its description in RNAcentral is "partial 23S ribosomal RNA". It matches the Rfam family "Bacterial large subunit ribosomal RNA", at positions 2112 to 2315 of the family's 2925-position model. The record is from RNAcentral. Lineage: Bacteria; Pseudomonadati; Pseudomonadota; Gammaproteobacteria; Enterobacterales; Enterobacteriaceae.